Molecule: non-coding RNA, 29127 nt
Organism: Coturnix japonica (Japanese quail)
Lineage: Eukaryota; Metazoa; Chordata; Aves; Galliformes; Phasianidae
Source: RefSeq, a predicted model, not a curated record
CAGGUUGCCCAGGGAGGUUGUGGAUGCCCCAUCCCUGGAGGCAUUCAAAACCAGGCUGGAUGUGGCUCUGGGCAGCCUGGUCUGGUGGUUGGCAGCAAUGCGUAUGGUGAGGGGGUUGAAACUGAAUGAUCAUUGUGGUCCUUCUCAACCCAGGCCAUUCUGUGAUUCUGUGAACAUGAUCACUGGUAAAGUUAGAUUGCUUUGCAUCAGUUCAAAGCAAGUAUCAUCCUACUUCAACUGGAUAUAAAGAUUGCACAUUUGCUAUUUCACACUAGGCAAGUGCAUUCUACUCAGCUAAGAUCAAAAUAUUAAAUGCCUCUUAAAGUGUUAUUCUGUCUAACAGAAUAGGAGUUAAUUCUCCUAUUUCUACUUCAGCCUUAACGUAUUUAACAUAUUUCUCUUUUUUUUUUAAAUAGGAUUUGAGGUUUAAAGGACCUUAUAUCAGCUGUUCUGAUCUCUUCUGAUGGCAGAGGUAGUCUUAAGAAGUGUUUAGGACUAGCAGAAAGGAACUCUAGCCAUACAAAAGCACUUGAGAUGAGUGGAACUGCUGCUUAUCCUACUCAGAAGGUUUGAAACUCAGUUGAUGAUAGGGACUGUGCUAAACUGCAUCUUACUGGGCUUCUCUUUUUACUGAACACUCUCCAAAAAAAAGGAACAUUCUAUCUGCCCUCUCCAUUUCUCUCCAGGCCUAUUUGUACCUGAAACAGCAGUACUAAUACCUACAACACAGUUGUUUCCCAGAGGACUAAAUUCCUCUUUCCAGGUAUGUUAGCUUAUAAUAACCUGAGAUUAUUUUUUUUCAAAUCAACUGUAAUGCCUCCCCUGUCAAUUUCAUAUGACUUUUCACACUUACUGAAUGUGGCAGAACCUAUCCCAGUCUUGUUUGCUUGUCCGUCAUUGGCCAUGACAUUUAUACAAUUAUCCUCUUCCUCUCAAGCUAGCAGAUCAAUGAUGCUUUGUCCUUUUGUUGGUACUCUGAGAUAGACAGAUAUACAGGUUUACAUAGAAUUAAAGACUAAAGUAACAAAAGAGUUCAGUUAAGUUUAACACAUAAGAGCUUGUCCUCCAUGUAAUCCCCAGUAGCUCAGCAGGCAAGUUUUAUUGCAGUCAUAAUAAAGCUGAACAUGGAGGCUAAAUGUUUUACUCAGAAUUAAAAGUCAUAUUGACAUCAUAGCUGGUAAUAUGUCUCAGAGCAUCUAAAUGGGGUAAAGUUGAUGAAUUACUCAGGUAUUGUAAUUCGUAGCCCUCCUUUCUUUCCAAUGGACCAUGCUAAUCAAUUUCUGGUUCCUAUUUCUUCUUUCUCUCUGCCUGUUGCUUCUUAGGCUUAAAACACAGUAAAUAAAUCACUGCAUUGUACUAGUUUUAAUCUAAAAUGUGGAUAACCAGUAUUUUCAAGGGACCGUCUCUUUCCUUGGACAGAGUCUGUGUUGCCAGAGUUUUCAGAUGGCUUAGCAUCUCCUGGCCACCUUUUGAUCUCAGUACAUCUCAGAAUUUUGUGGACAAAAACAUCUGCUGUGGAUUAGGCAAAAUACAUUUCUGCUCUGGAAAUAGUAGUUUUUGCCUGAGUCAGAUAUUUGUAUUCCCGAUGUCAGUACCUGCUUUCCUCUAUGAAGGCAAAGGCAACAAUUCUUUCCAGGGAUCCGAGAGAAAAGUUCCUGCAUAGAUCCUUUUGCUCUUUCUCCUUCGCAUGCUUAGCUUAUUUGUGUCUGAAGUGGAUGGGAGGAGAACUGUCAGAAUUUAAGUCAAAACUAAUAAGACAUCACAGAACAAAGGAAACCUCUCUUAGGGUAGCACUGACUCCUUUUGGGUCAAAAGAAGGAAAGCCAAGUGGGACGGGUUUCACCACAUCUACUAUCAUCUUGGUCUUUAGGCUUCUAGGAGUAAUAUGGAGAGCAGACACCCAGCCAUCAUGAAGGUCAGGGUUACAACGAGAUGCAUUCACUUCUCAAGUUCCUUGUCUGGCAGCACAGCCAGACUUAUCAAUCCAAACAGCAAGAUCUCAUUCAUAUGCAUUGUUUUUUCCUCCUACAGUAAUAUGCAUGUAUGUGUAUUCACAUGCCCACUCUGUGCCAGAGUAACUGAUGUAAGAACAGAAGUGUGAGGGAGGACUCAUCAAUACUGUGAAAUGAACGUGGAAAGGAACUGCCUGGCUUUUGUGUCUGUUUGGAAUGGUGGGUGGAAUUGGUUUGAGUUGUCAGUGUUUUGUUUUUGUUGGGGAAAUUUUAACUUUCAGCCCAGAUUUCUCUGUGUCUAAGUUGAGCUCUUGUUUCUGAAUUAUGUUAUUGAAGGGGUAAGUGAAAGUUGGUUCCUUGAUAGAUUUAUUAGACAAACCGUUAAUGAUACCUUAUCCACUUUACAGCAUUACCAAUCCCAUUUCCACACUCUUCUGAUUUGAUAAACAAGUUUGUGUUAACAACUCAAACUUUUAGAGAAGGGAGCACAGAGCCUCUAUCAUGCUGGAGUCCUCUUUAGUCUGUGAACUGCAGCAUGUGAUUGUUUUUGUAUGCAGUGUUUUCAGUUUGCUGACAAAGAUGAUGAUGUUUCAGCCUUUGCACGUCUUUCUUGAUUUUUGUCUGUUUAAAAUUUUUCUUUCUUUUCUGGACCAGUAAUCUAAAAUCGUCAGUAAAAGUGAUAUAUUACCUGGGGAUUAUGCCAUUGUUUUGUGUGGAAUUAUUUCUGACAACACCCAAGGGUGAGUAACAAUUAUUUCUGGUGAAAGCCAGUUCUCUGUGUAUUAUAUGACAAGGGCUGACUGCAUCUUCAGGUGCUCCUACAUACAUUCACGCACUUUGUGCAAGUAAACAUGGUCUAUCAUCAUCUACACAUGGAGGAAGUGGUUAAAAAAGAGCAAACCUGAUUGUUCAUUCUUACAAUUUCUAGAUAUUUGUGCUGGAUCAGUGGGAAAGAUACAGUUCAUUUCAUCUGCUGGAAAGAAAUCCUUACUGAUUCAAAUUCAGGAGAUCCUGUUUAAGCAAAAGUCAUGAUCAGACAAUUUCACUGGUGCUGAAAGAAUGUAGCCUUGGAAGACUAAGUAAAUAAGCUUUCCCAUUGUGUUCACAUAUGAUAGAUCCAUAACUAUAUAAUGUAACAAAAAUAUUAGCUUUUAUUAUGUAUCACCAAAAAAAAAGAAAAUCACAAAUCAUUACUGUUGGUGUGCAGAGCACUUCUAAAGAACAAAUUUAAUUCCCAGAGUAGUGUUUGUGGUGUAUGUGAAGUUGUAUUAAGUAAAUAAAGUAAAGCAAGGUAAAUCUAGACCUUAAAAAUAAACCUAAACAGAGUAACAGAUCCUUUUUUCCACUUCACUCAUUCAUUAAUUAGUUGCAGUAUUUCUUCCUGAUUUUUCGGAGGCAUUCAGAGCUGAAGCUGAUUAGUAAACCAAAUCCUGAGGUAACAAGGAAAGGAGAAAGUGAGUACCAGUAGAGGGACCCAGAGAGUUGUCGACAAGUUCAUUAAGGAAUAUUGGUAACACAUUUUCUUUUUUUGCUUUAUUUAUUUAUUUCCACAAUAAAACUUUAAAUAAGAAAAAGUUAAUCACUAUAUUAUUUAUAAACAGUUAUGAAAACGUCCCAGUUUGCAGUAGGCCUACUACAGUACUUCUUGCCAGUACUGUUGAAUGUUUGUAGGGCAUUGUUUCCAAUCAGCAGAAAACUUCACUAGAGUAAGAACCACUAUUUUUGUUACUUGGUUACUUGGUUUAAUGUAGUAGGGCACUAAUGCCUUUUGUGUGCCAUUCAGGCAAAAAUUAAAAACAGUGCAAAACCUCAGUGAUUUGUAAUAUUAUUCAGGACUUGCUAAUGUGACUCUGGAGGCUUGCCAGUGUGAUUCCCUUCUACAAGAGUCUAAGGAGGAUCUAGGAAACUACAGACCCAUCAGCCUGACAUUGAUGCCAGGAAAGGCUGUGGAAUGGAUCAUCUUGAGUGAGAUCACAUGGCAUUUGCUGGACAACCGGCAAAUCAGUUCUGGCAUGGGUUCAAGAAAGGAAGGACCUGCUUGAUCUGCCUGAUCUCCUUCCAUGCAUUGUUAGCACUUCAGCAAAUUCUCAGCAGAUGGCCUGAUCCCUCUCCCAAGGGAGGUCUGGAUAUCUCCAAUGUUAUUACAUGAUAGUUGCUUGCUUACUUGGAAAAGAAGCAUGAAUUUCUUGUGCAGUGCUGUAUGCAGGAGACCUCCAGCUCCUAAAAAGAACAUAAAGAAGUUGAUGGCUGAGGAGGAAAAAACAUUGGAGAUCAUCCCUAAGAUUCUGGAGAAGUUAGAGAAGGCCUGCAUGAACUUUGCGCAUUUCUCAGGAAGUUGAAAGAGAUGAAGAAAGAAGCGGAGGUUGAAGUUAUUGUCACAGUACCCCAGACUCUUGACAGAGUCAAAAAAAAUAAAUAAAUAAGUGCCUGCAUCCAAAAAGACAGCUGUGAUGGAAGACAGUUACACAUCCCAGAUGGAAUACAAGUCUACAUUAUUUUUUGCAGCUGGACAAAAGCUGAAUAUUCAAAGAAACAUGAAGAAAUUGUGUCAAAUCCUGACAAGGUUGGACUGUUACAAAUCCUGAUAGAAACAAAACCAUUGAAAAUGACCAAAAAACUGCUAGAUGCAGUGUUUGAAAUGGGCCUUCUAAGGAAAAUGCCAAACUUCAGCUGGAAGUUCAAUGGGCAAGUGUGGAAGCAAGACAAUAAGUAUGAGGUCAUUGCAUCUGUUGAUGGAUUGUCCCACACUUAGGAUAUCCAGUCCUGUGAACUUCAGAACUCAAUGCUGAAACUGGAGUUAUAGCACAGAAAGCUCCAUUCUUCAUUGAUUGCAGUCCUCUCCCCUUUCUAAGAGGUUCCAGAUCAAUUCAUCAACAAGUACACAAAUGAAAAAUGGAAAUUCCUGUCUGGAGCGUGCACUGAUUUUGAAAUAUAUCACUCUGAAAGAGAUAAGGAAUUAACAGGUGAUUGAAAGGUCUGAAGCACAACAGGAAUCAUGAAGGGAACAGAGCAGAGUUUAUCAUAAUGUUGAUGAGCCAAGUGACUCAGAAACUUGUAUGAGUGUUUCUGUGUAAGACAGUGAACCUAACAACUACAACAGCAGCACCAGUGCAACUGGGAAGGUAUGUAUGGUUGGUCCAAGGAAGGAAAAUGAACAAUAGCAUCCUUUGCUCUGUUCUUCACUGUAGAGCAGUAGUGCUGCUUUGUUAUAACAGCCAUGAAACUGAUCUGAGAUAAUGCAGAUCUGAAGUCUAUUGUUUAAUAUGGGAUAAGCCAUUAGUCUGUGCUUUGUGUUGGUAUUAUGAAGAUAAUGAUUAAGGAUGUCCCUUUGCUGUAGAAAAUGUUAGAAGCAUAAAGCAGUAAGUCUUCCAUCUUAGUCCUCGUACAUACCACCUAAAGCAGCCUAGUUAAGUUUGGUGUUUUUAUUUUAACCAGGAUUAUCAUAAUGAAUUCUUGUUCUUUAAAGUGACCGAUGGGAUGUUUGAAUGCUGAGGACCAGCAGCACAACACGAGACUCUUGCAAUAUUAAAUAUUUAAUAUCAUGUUUAUUUCUUUAAUUAAUUUUGCAGUAGCAUUAUUGAUGCUGUAAAUUUCUACCUAGGAUCUCUAUAGAAAGACAUAAGGCUGCCAGGAGGGGAAGGCUGGCAAAAUAUCUUUGUGCUCUCAUCAUAGGCUGGAGAAGAAUUUCAAAGUUCUUCCUCACAGAGUGUGGAUUUUAGUGGCUUUUAGUAUCUGUGAUAACUUCUGUUAAUUGUGGGCAAGGUUUGAGUAUGCCCAGAUGCCUUCUGUGAGAAAUGUAUCAUUUAAGACAAAGUGAUUGGAAAGAGGAAACAAUCAUAUUAGCAUAUCGUUUACAGGUUCAACUACAACAGAAUAGCCUUGAGCUGCUAUCCCUAUAGUGGAAAUACACCCAUAAAGGAUAAAAACUACAUAAGAACAGGCUCUGUUUAUCCCCAUUUCUUCCCCUGAUGUGCAGUUUAUCAAGCAAAGAUAAUAGCUUUCAUCCUAGGGGAUUUUUGACUGAGGAUAAGCAUGUGGACACAUCAGAAAAGGACUGAUCUGAUCCUUCCUAGUCUUCUACAAUCUCAGCCUUACUAAGUUUCAGCUUUAAUUCUUUGCUUUUUCAAAUUUUUCCUUCCUAGUCUCCUGUGAAGAUGCUUAUAUGAUUUCAUGUUUGUUAACGUAUUUUCUCAACCUGUAGAUUCACAUUAAUUCCUGCAAGGUUGACUUCUCACCACCCUCCCUUCUCUCUCACCCAGUCUCAGAUUUUCAGAGUAAUUAAUAAAUGCUAAUUUAUUGUAUGCUAAUACAUACCAUUCAUUACAUGCCAUGCAGCUUUUCUAGGCAAAUAUGUAGAUCCUGUUCACAGAAUUCAUUCUAUCUAUAAAUCACAGAACACUGUGCUCGAUUAGGACUUGGAAAUCCUGAUUUCUUUGUCAUCUUUGAGCAGGAAAUUCUGAGAUCCAGGGACAGAGUCAAAGAAGGUGUUUGUUGCAAUGUGUGUCAUUUCGUGCCUCAACCUUCUUGUCAGAUUAUAGCCAUGAAAGGCAUCUGGGUAAUGUAGUGAGAAGCAUACUCAUCAGUGGUCUAAAAGAGGAGCAUGAAGAUAGGCACGUAUUCAGCCAGGGGGACAGAGGACAAAGCAAGAGUUGACACUGCAGGUAGCUAAGCUGUCUCCUUACUGCUGUUAACACUUGCAGAGUCUUUGCUUCAUCAGGUCCCAUCAGCUGGGGCUGUACCAUUUUUAGGCUUAUCUGUCUGCGAGCAAAACCUUUCUGCUCCGUUGUUAGCCAAGGGGAGAAAAUUGAACAGUCAUACUGAUUGAUUUAAAGUGACAAAACACGGGUUUCUAUGUUUAUAAAUCUGUGGUUGAGAAUGUUGGUCUUAACCUUUACUUGAAAUGUUGUUCUGAGCAACAAGAAAAACACCUUUCCUGAAAUUAUACAUGAAGUAUGUAAAUAUAUGUAUUACUCAGCUCUUGGCAGCCAGAUGGCGCCAGAUGGACUGUCAGAAUCAUCUGCAGCAUGGAAAUGAGCCUCUUUCUGUUCUCCAAAUAAAGGCGAGUUGGAUGGAUACCACUGCCAAGACAGUGGGACAAAUGAAGCAGUAAGGAUGCUGUGGCUGUGGCAUCAAAUAUAUAGAACCUGUGUGCAGUAUAAAUGCAUCCACAGCAAAGCUUUGGUACAGGGAAUGAUUUUCCUCCUGUCAGAAAUACUGACUGCAUUUUUAUGACUAUUUCAGCAGAUUGUCCUUUGCAAACAUAUACCUGACAAAUAUUUAGAAACUUGGUUAUUUUUCUUUAUUGUGCACAGGACAUCAUUAUCAUUGUUCCAUACAGCUCUAACAACUGACAGAAUGUUUUGUUUGCAAGCAGUAAACUUUGAUUCCAUGAUCUUUGUUGUGAUUAUGGCUUAUUCAAAUGUGGUCUUAGGAAAGAAUAGCACAGAGUGUUUCCUCUUUUGCCUUCAAAGCUUAAAAUCUGCCUGGAAAUAAAUCUCAAGGACCUUGAGAAUUGGGGAGCAUUGUGCAAUUGCUAUUUCUCAGAGCUCCCUCCUUUUCUGCUGAGCUGAACACCUGAUGGAAAUCAGCCAGGUUCUUGUUUAAGAAACAGAACUGAAUUGCCUCAAUCAAAACACAUGGAAGAUUUUUCAUGUCCUUCAAGUUUUUCAUGAAAUAUGGGAUUAUUACAUUAAAAAACAAAAUAAAAAUCAUAAAGUAUUCCAAGGGGCCCAACUCUGGACCACCUUGCAUACACAGGAAAAAUGGCAGGGUCUAUUUGCAGCUGCAGCUUUCAAUUGUUUUCUUUUUGGAUUCUCCUGUUACUGAAGCCUUUAGCUGCACACAGUGUAACUAUGAAGAAUGAGCAUAUUGAAAGCGUCAAGGUACCUUUUAAGGCAAAGGCAUUGUGUAAAGUCAUACGUUUCUGAGAUGGUGCUGAGGUGGCAGAGAAAGAGGUGAUGGAGAAAACCAGUGACUGUUUUACAAGCAAACACUGCAAGAGAAGACAAUAGAUCUGUUAAUGCGGAAUCUCAGAAAAUAACUGUCUCAGCUUUGGACAGUCUUUACCUCAGCAUUGUUGGUAGGGCUUCAUAUUAAUCAUUUUAUAGCAGGCUGGUCACUGGUAGACAUGUUGGGCUGCAAACUCUCUAAUUCAGAUUUUCUUCUUUAGAAACUGUUUUGUGCUUGGACUAAAACCAGGACCAAAGAAAUAGCAAAUCCUUUCACUACCAGUGUUUGCAGACUCAGAAAUGUCUCAACAUGGGCUGGCCAUGAAAGAGGACUGACUAGCAUUCUCUUCUCGUGUCAGUUAUAUAAGCUUAGUAGAAUAUGGCAAAUGAAAUGUCUUUCUCUGGAAAAUAUUGUGGAGGAGGAGAGAAGAUAAUUUAAAAGGGAAUACUUAAAAACAUUUUGUUUUGCAGCCAAGAAAGAAAAUACGUCAGCCAAAGCCUAAGUUAGUUAGAAAACACUGCUGAACUAUGUUCUGAGACUUACAGUGUGGGUACCUCUUGCGCUUGUUUUUCCUUUAUGGACAGGGAUCCCAGAGAACCUGUGCCUCCUGAUAUUUGUAGCUCUUUUUCCCAGGGUCAGAGUGUAUCACAAAAGACAGUGUAGUCCGUGUGUCUGGCCUGGUGAGUCAUUUCAGAAGUAAAAUUUCCAAACUGAAGUAAUAUAUGUCAGUUCUCGCCUAAAGUGUUGCAAUUUUCCAUUUUUAUCUAAACUUCCUAUGGAUUAAGGUAAGUGUUUCUGUGCAGCUCUGUAGCAUACUGCAGAAAGAGCUCCUUUUUGGAAUAAAUGCAAGCAUUUAAAUGUUUCAACCUUUAAAGUGAUAAAGGGAAGUAGCUGGCAAAGUAAGAGGCUGUUAAAGAAAGACUGCAGCCACGAAUCAAGUAACCAUGCAGGUUAUCCUUCUUGUUGUUGGUAUAGAUGUAUACAUAUGCACACAGACUCACACAACUUGAAAUCCAUGGAUUCCAUUGCUAAACUGAUUUUUCUGUGUGUGGAGUCUUUUGAACAGGUGUCUCAGCCUCAAGAGUUAGAUGUUAGGAAAGAAGCUGUCACCAUCACCAGGAACUCCUCAGCCCAGGAUGGAUGUUGCCCAGUGCAAGGCUAUGUCAUGGAAAGAAGGAAAAAGAAGUUAGCAAUCUCUGAGUCCUAGGCAACAAAUAUACAGUUCAAGAGCCUGCAGAAGUCCUGAAGGUCCUCUACAUGGUGGAUUUUUCCAGCUCCAGUAUUUCCUUAGCCUGGCAGGAACCAAACAAGGAAGAUGUGUCAUCAUGAUGCAUGCUAGAAUGUAUAAGUGAAGGACACCAAGGACUGGACAAAGUGCACCAAGAUCCCUAUCUCUAGUACCACUUAACACCGCAGGAAGUUUGCAGAACAGGCAAACUGCAAGUGAAGAUAGUGUGGGAAAAGCAAUGGAGUUUGGAAGCAAUGGAACAGGAAGGAAUUCUAGAAAUACCACCUUCAGGUUUGACCUGACUGUGAGGCUGAAGAGCCACAUGGUGGUUUGUGCUGGAACAGCACAGUGCAUUCACACAUCUUUGUCAAUACAAACUAGCUUGCUCCUUAGAGAACUUUUCAUUACUAUGAUCUGCUGGGGGCGAGGAGGUUAAGGAUCUUUGCAUUGUAUUUUGUACAUCAUCUUUUCAGAGUGCUUUUUAAGAUUAGCAGCUGUAUUAUUUCAUCAGAAAGGAAUUACAUACAGCAAACUGCUAAUCAGGUUCCUCAAGCUAGAAGAAAUCAAGGAGAAAGUACUUUAACUAAACACAUGAGGACUCUGGAAGGGAGAAGCUGAAGUGAAAAAAUUUUGUCUCAUAACAGAGGGAAGGCUCCAAACAGGAGAAAUCAAUACUUAAAUGUGCGAAUUAAUUCUUAGAUCUCCUCUGAUCAACCACUAAUCUCAGCUGGCUUGAGAAAGUCCCAGAAACUGUGACACUAAAAUAUAAUUACAGCUGAAAUGAAGAAGAGAACUAGCAGACGCAUUAUGAUAUCCUGAAACAUGAUAUCAGUACUGCCACAUAGUUCACACAGCCACAGAAAAAUCCACAGCAAUAAGUACGCCGUCACAGGCCUGCUUCCAGGGAGGAAAUACUUGUUCUGAGUCACUGCCUGCAAUGACACUGGGGACAUUGACCCUUUGGAUUCAGAGAAGCCAUGGUACACCUCCAAAGAGAAAGAAAUUCCCACCCACUGAGCUUUGAAUCAGGUUGCAACACAGCAGUAGUAUUCCAGUUAGCUCAGACUGGUCACAUGCAACUCAGCAUUUACAGGUAUGUCGGGUGAUGUUUUACUAAUAGUAAUGCACAAGCCACACAUCGUUUCCCCAUGUCAUGAUAUUCAAACUUGCAGCUGGCAGACUGGUCUUAAUACAGCCAUGCUUGGAAACUGCUGUGUCCUCUGAGUUUCAGCAGCUUUUAUUAUGCUCACUCAACUUAUGAUUAACCAGGGAUCAAGGUUAAAUAUUGGAGAGCAAGAAAUCUCCAUCCUUUUGUCUGACAUGAAACUCUUUUCCCCAUUUUUCCUUCUAGAGAAAGGGCCCUUGUGCCUCUGGAUCUGUUGUUAUUCUUUACAGGGAAUAAGAGAGAGACACUGCCAGACACAGCUUGAAAUGAAAUUGAUACAGCACCAAUAAUGAUGAACUAUAUUUGGAAAGGUCUUUUAGGGUUAUUUUUGUCUGUGAUCGCUGCUUCUGGACUGCCUGCUGGCAACUGCUGAGGCCCUGCUCUGAAAGGUUCAGUCUCUGCCAGUGGGGAAGUAGCUCAGUGUGGGUCAGUGGAGGGAAAGGAUGUGUGGAUGUUGUGUCUCCUGCUCUGAUUUUCAAGUACUCAUUUGUCUUUUUGUGUAGGAUAGAUAUGACACUUCUUUCACUGAGGCCAGCCACUACCCACCUAAAACACCAAAAGCAGUGCUUUGCUCUUUUUUAGGAUGCUCUGGUAUUACUGGGUCUUGUGCUUCCCAGGUUCACUGAUGCACUCCUCCCUGAAGCCACAGCUUCAAGCCACAUCCAACAGCUGGAGGACAGUUUCCUAGUUCCCAAAAACAGCGAAAUCUCUCUCUGGUCUGGCAUCACUAUCAGCGAAGCUGAACAAGGAGAACUUUGGCAGUGCUGUUCACUAGUGCUUAGGAAAGACAGGCAGACUGGGGGGGCAAAAGCAGCUUUCUAUACCUUUGGAGAUCUGUUUGCUGGAAAGGACGAACCUUCUGCCUUCUUACACAAACCUUGUUGUGGUAAAAACUGUUACAAUAGGAACACUCCUCUUCAAAGCUAUGCAAAGCAACCUGUUUGUAAGCAGUGGUAGCUAAAGGAACAAGGCUUGCAAAAGCACUGUGUGGGUGAGGUACUAAUUUAUAUUUGGAUGUUUUAAUGGCCCCUUGAGUGGGGAGUGGGGAAGAUGAUAUAUCAGAUGCUGUAAUAUCUUAUUUCCAGAGCAUCCUGAGACUCCUCCUUGACUUACCUAGGCAGACCCUUGGGAGACCUGUUAGGGGCUUUUGCAGCUGAGUGAGGUGGGGAAAGCAGAUAUCAGAAUAAAACAUACUGAAAAACUGUAUUCAGAACAUGAGGAUUUCACUUAGAAUUUAACUUAAUUGCUGGUUUAUUUUAGAACUGCAGAACUAUAUUCUUACUGAUUUGUGCUUUGGAAGAGUGGUAGUUAUUGCCUGGGGCUGGCUGCUGUCGGCUGGAGGACAGCAUUACCUGCUGUGGUUAAUCUAGCUGUGAAGGCACUUGGUUAGACUAGGAGCUCCUUCAGACCUCAAGUACAUUCUUAGGGAUGUCAGUGGCCUUUAUGUAGUGACAGGUGGCCCAAAAGGGAAGGGAGUAAGGAAUGAUUUAAGAGAUGUCCAAAUGAGUUCCAGACACCUGUGCUGGAAUCUCUGCUGAUGAUUUCUCUGCUGAUUCCACAGGAGCUAAACCUCUGUUAGUCUUCUCUCUUAUGUAGACUUUUCCAUCUCUCUUCAUUCUUCUGUUCAGCCGUAUUUUCAGCUUUAGCUGAAAUAGUGCAUUGCUCCUCCCCUGUGACACAGAGCAGCAGCUUCUUACAGCUCUGAAGGGAUGAAUCUCGUUUUCUGUGGCACAGCGCUAAAGUCACAAUGCCUAUUAGACAAAGUGAUUUUUUCAGAACAGUGUUGAACUGAACAAAGAGAAAUAAGAAUGAAAAUGAGAUUUCCCAGAACUUAAAGUAUCACUUCCUAUGAAAGUUGUAAUCAGUUGUUUUUGAAAGAUGUUACCAGUUGUUAAGGAAAGCUUUUAAACAGCUUUAUGAAGCCACAUAGCUAAUGCUUUGUGAGGCUUCCACUCAAAACGUGGGGUUGGUUUUGGUGAUUGCAGCACUUCUCACUUUCUCUUUUCUUAAGAAAUACAUGAUAAAACCCUCUUGGAUACAGUGACAGAAAGUUUGCAGAAGUCUCAGUAUGGGAUGUAAUUAGUAGAACCUACUCUGCUCGGUCCAACAUACAGAACAGUGUUGCUGUGGCUGCAUCAUUUGGUUUUGCUUGUGUGGCUCAAAAUGCAAGUGUGUAUUAAAACCUUGAAAUUCCAAAAAGUAAAUACAAUCUGCAGCUUUGCAAAUGAGGGAGUCACCAUGUGAAAGAGCUGGUUGCAUAAGGCAAACCCAAGAUCCAGAAUGGUCCACUAACCACACGGUUGGUGGGCAACACUAAGGAAUUAGAACAUGUCUGAGCCACUGAAGGAUUGACAUAGUCAGAUAAAUUUAUACAUAUGUUACUGUUGGUUCUUUUAUUUUAGAGUGAUUUUUUUUUUUCCUGGAGCUUUUCUGGUAUAAAAGCACAAUGUGGCCAGCCACACACACAUGCUUAGUCCAAGAAUAUUUUGCCAUCUUUGUUCCACCUGGAACAAGGAAGGAAGUGUGCUGGUACAGGAUGCUCCUCCCAUGGAGCUUGUAAGUUUUUUAAUCGAAUUAUAAGAGACAAAAACAUAGGAAAGAAACACCUGGUUUUCCUUUGGAAUGCUUUGAAACUUGGUAGUGGUUCUGCCUAGUACUGAUUCAUUUUCAGAUCAGGAAUCACUGCACUCAAAAGGGGAGAGUGGAAGGAUCUAUGUUAAGCCUGCAAGCAGAUCCAUUUAAUGGACUGGGAGCACUUGCUCUGCAUUUCUACGCUAUAGAUCCUUGAAACCUGUUCCACUGGUGACAGAUGGUCUGGUUCAGGAUUAAUGAAACCAAAUAUCUGUGCCACUGCAUCAAACACAGCUGAGGAAACUGGCAUCAGAUCCUCAAUCAGAAAAAGAUGUCCGUGCUAACCUAUUUCUCCCCUGGAAAUUUUUACUUAAGAGAGGAGAAAAAUGAGAAUUGUCAUUUGUGUGGGACUUCUGGGUAACCUCAGUGAGCAACCUUCUCAGAUAAUCAUUUGCAUCAAGCUGCCUUCUCCCUGGAAGUGUGGACAAAUGACUGUUGUAAGUGGGACUGACUGUUGCAGCAAGGAGCCAGUGUCCUUCAGGGCUCUGCACCCUGGGACACUUGGGAUGUGUUGUAACACCAGCCAGUUGCCAUCAGCACAAUGGUGCUUAGUUCAUUUGUGCUGUAUGUGCUCUGUGGGGUGCCUGUGGGUGUAUUUCAGGGGUUCUCCAGAUGGGAAUACUAUAUCAGGCUGCAACAGCGCCUUUCUGCUUCAGUGCAGCUCUGGGUAGCUCCAGGGCAGAGCCACACCACUGAGGGACAUAAGUGGCACAGCAUUGCCUGCUACAGAGCUUCAGUAGGCUGCUGUCACAGAAACAGAAAAUGAGCAAAGAGAUGCUACAUCUGCACAAUAAAUAUACCCAGUAAAUUAAUAUUUUUAAUUGUUGUUACACACAGAAGAAAUGAGAAAAAAAAAAAAUACAUUCCAAACAAAGAAUUAAAACAGUAAAAUCAGCAUAAAAAUAUGUUAAGAAAAGAUCCCAGUUCAAGUAGCCGUACUGCCUGUGGUGACCUUUACAAUCAUGGUAAAGGAAGUAAGUGCUGGAGACUUUCACACAUGGCAAAAUGCUGACUCCCUGGGGAGAGCAGCUGCUUCGGUCACAUCUUUCUGCACACUGUCUGGAACACAUGGGAGAGGGGCCAGGGUGAGAGGCUUACAUGGUACGAAACAUGGACUUAGUAUUCAGGAUAAAGUAUUCAGUUCCUGUUUUAGUUUUUUGUUUGUUUGUUGUUGUUCUGUUGGUGGUGGUUGAUUGGGUUUGUUUCUUUGUUUUCAGAUUUAUUAAAAAUAGCUCCUGCUGGCCUGGCCCUGCCCAUGUAGUAGGUGUGGAGCAAGAUGUCCCUUCUGGACUGGGAACAAGAUUUGGUCCAGCAUGAGCCUACAUGAGUGAUGUCUAAGUCCAUGUAUCUAUACUGACUUGGUGUUCCCAUGCAGUGGGCUGGAUUUGAUUUCUUGAUUUUUGGCUGCCAGGAAAAGAUUUGUUCUAUUUUCUGAUGUAGUCUGUCCCCAAAUGGGACCAAUCAUUGUUCCCACUGCAGUCAUGGCAGCUCGGUCCCUGCAUCCCUCUCGCAUGAGACUGACUGUGGGAGUCUGCAGCGGGCCUUGUGCUUCAGCCUUCCUUUUGAGCCUCAUACCACUCCAGUAGCUCAUCCUACAGCAGCAUAGUGUCACCACAAAAAACAGUACAAGCCACAGAAAUUUUGGCAUUCCUGCCAACUGGCCACCUUUUAUAAUUUGUGAUCUAUCUAGAGUUGUAUAGUUUUAUUUUUUACAAUAAAAGCAAAAAUAAAAUAACAUUAAGAAAAUUUCCUCCAAACUAAGAAAACUAAAAUUUAUCAUACAUUGUAAAGAAACAAUGAAAAUUUGCAUUGUGUUUGCUUCUGAGUUCAUAUUAAGAUAAGAUUUUACUGCAGCUGCUUCAAAAUUAUGGUCCAUUUCGCAUGUAGACAGUUCACAUUCCUUGGUAACUUCUCACUUUCAUUUGUUAUACAGCAGCUAGUGCUACCAGAUCCAAGUCGUUUCUAGCUGUAGUCCAGAUCUGAAUCGAGUGAACUGUGGCAUUUUUAUAGUCACUGAGUACAUGGUGAUGGUUUAGAGCUGUAUUUCUAGAUGUAUUUUUGUUCUGGGCCCUCGGAUUGAUGGUACAACUACUUCCUUCACCAUAGAACCUGCAACUACUUAGUUUCAGGUUAAAAGGAAAUAAUUAAAGAAGGAUGUAUCGACCUUAUUGAUUCUAUCGAGGCCUUCCCUCUCUGCUGAUAUUAAAGCCAGUAAACUUAGAAUUAAACAUCCCGUUUUAAGUUGUCUCCUGAAACCUAGCUGACCUUCAGCAGGAUGAAUGGUGAACAGAAUGACUUUGUUUUCUGUUCCAAUGUUUUCAACAGCCAUCGCAGUCUGUAAGAGCACUGUGUUUUGGCUGGAUUCGGUUCAUUCUAACUAACAGAUCAGAAUGAGACUAGACUGCAAAAUUUGGAUGCACGGUUCACAUCUAAGAAUUUGGUUGAGGCUUUUAGAUAAACUAAGAACUGUUUGCAAAAUGGAGAUUAGUGUUCAGACUUUUAAGCUAAAACCUCCACAGAGUUCAAGUGUAGCUGAGCCUAUCCUGUUAGACAGUAUGAAUAAAUAUGUUUCUUUUGCUUUCAGUCUAAUGCAAAUCAAAAAGGCAGUAACACAUUCCAUGCUUCUGCAGAUGCCUAGAAGUAUUUUUAUCACUACAGUACAUUAACAUUUGAGACAUACAUAUAGCACUUUACAUCUUCUGAGUGCUGUGUAAGCAUUAAUCCUUACAGCAUCUUUGUGAGGUAGGUAAGUGCUAAUACCACUGUUUUCAGAAUGGGAUGAGAACAGACACACAGGUCCUGGUCCUGGUUGUCAUAACCUGGCAGAGCGCUGACCCUCCUACACUUGUGCCUACUUACAUCAGAUGAGGAUCUGGCUGCAAAAAAAUAAACGUGACUUCCCCAAGGCCGCAAAAGGAACAAGUAUGGAUAAAAGGCAGGAGAAGUACCUGGGCAGAACAUGAUUAUGCUGCUGAGUAAAAGAGUUCAUCUGUAUACAGAACCCAAGCAGUGAGAACAAGGCACCUGCCACUAAGCUUUGCAUUUGCUUUUUGCAUUGAUCUGCUUCUUCCAGAUCAGCUCCCAACAUUAGCACUGCAGCAAGAUGAAAACUUAGAGGUGUCAGUGUCAAACUAUGGCACAAGAAAACUUAGAAGAAUCACUAAAUAGAAUCUGCAAUUUGUCUUGGGAGUUCUAAAUACAUGUGUAGAAAUAUAUCUAUUAUCUGCAUGAUAACAGCAUGCAUGUUUUGGCAGUCAUUUAAAAGCCAUGUUAAAGUAAUUCUUAAAACAAUUGACUGAUUAUUGCCUUACAGUUGCCUCGGUAUGAAGGAGUAAGAAGCCAACUAUGAAGUGUGAAUAUGUUCGCAGAAGAAGAGUAAAGCUGUUCAUAUCCUCUGGCUUUGUUCUUCUCAACCUGCCAUUUCUAUGUUAGCUUUAUCCUGUUGACAUCAGCCCAAUACAUUGCUAGCAUUUAAAAACCCUUUCCAAUAGGAAUGCUUCUCCAGCUUCAGUGGGAGUUCUGUAUGAGCAUGGACAAGGAGAAUCUACCACCAGGAAGAGAAGUUCAGCUAAAAUAUAUUUUCUAUAUAUCCAAUUAAAGACCUAAGGAUAAGUAUGAACUAAUACAAGAGAACAAGAGUAGUUGUACUGUGUGCAUAGCCUCAAGUGACCUUAGAUGGGAAGUGCAGAGGGACCUUUGAGUACAGUAUUGUGAAAGAAAUGCUGCUGAAUUUAACAGGCGCUGGAGCUGGUAGUAUUGGUGCCACCAGGCAUGCUGCACCACUGGGAUGCUUCAUUCCCUCUGCAGUGUCCCUGGGCUGAAGAGUGUUCCUCAAACACUGCACUCCUGAUAAGAAUGGCUCAUUGCCAUUUUACAAUGCAAAGAGACUAUAAGAAGAUACACAAAUGACUGGCAUUGUCAAAGACAAUCAUGUUCUCCCCUCUUUUUGUUUGCUCCCUUUCAUAAUGAAGACUGCCCUUGCUUGGGUUGAGAGAAGAGUUUUAAUCCCAAGAAAAGGUAUUUAGCAGAAUGCAAGCAAUUGCUUAGUGUUUCUCAGGGUUUAUGAAACUCUGAAAACUGUGUCAAAUAAGUGUCUUCACCAGCUGGUCCCUUCCAAGCAGGAAAAACACCCUCCAGGAAAAUGGUCAGAUUCAAGUAAUAAGGAUGAAAAGUAGAGAAUGCAAAGCAGGAGAGAGAUUUUGGAGAUUAAGAGCUCUUACUGGCAACCACUGAGCCAGGCAGGACUCUUCUGGACUCUGUAAGCUGAGGGCUCUGCCUCAUGUUCCUGGGCAAGCCAAUGCUGUUGCUUCACUGGCUGCAGCCCAGCCAGCUGCUGACGAUAAAGGGACAACAGCCCACUUGGGUGACAUGUGUUUCUGCUGUCCUAAUUAAAGCCACCCACAGACCUCUGUAUCCAGAAACUGCACUUCUGACAGCCAGAAGAAGAGAGAACAGGUCUCCAAUUUACACUUAAAAGAUCCUUUUCUGCAAGUGUACAGGGCCUGAAAGUAGAGGAUGGUGAAGAACGCCAAGAAGAAAAAGCAUGCAGAAAUGCAAAUCAGCUGUCUUCAGUAAACUGAAGAUUGCUCAUUUCUAAACAGAAAGAAAGAUAAUGGUUCAGAUUGAAAUUCUAACUUUUAAAUCAAAGAAUCACAAAAUGGCUGAGGUUGGAAGAGACCUCUUGAGGUCAUCUGGGAAGCUCAGAGUGCAGGGAGUUUCUCUGAAGAACUGCCAGAAUAAAGAUUGAGUGUACUGAGCUGACCCAGACUGAAACAUGCUCUUAUGUUCUGGGAGAAUGGUGGGGUUCAUCCCAAAUGCUUACAUUUCCUCUUAGCUGGGUCAGUCUUUUACAGAAAGAGAUUUGCAAACAGUUAAGCUUAGUAACAGCAGCUGACAUCUGCAAAGAACUACACUGCAGGGUUCAAGCUGCGGCCAGGAGAUAAGCAAUGCUGAUGAAUGAAGAUGUUUUAUGGCUCUAAAUUCCCUUAGCAGUUUACUCCAGGCAGACCCCAGCGCACUGGUGAAUGAAUACUGACAGUAUUACACAACAGCAUUAAAAGGAAGAGAUUAAACCAGACUGUGCUACUUACAAUGCUUUCCCUCUCUACAACGCAGCUGACCUUUCUGAUCUCUCUGAAAAGCAGUAGAUGAUUCCAUGGGGUCAGGAUGGUUAACCUAAUUUUUGUAAUACUGGUUGCAUUGGUGUUGAUGCACCAACUGUGGAGAGGCAAUGCCUGUUCUAUGACUAGUCCCAACACAGAAGGCUGGAAAGGAACAGGAGAGUGACUUAACACCUCUCAACACCAACAGAAAAACUAAGGAUGUUUCCUUAGCUGACUCCUGACCCCAGCUGCCCUCAUUGGAAAGAGGAAUUCCUGCUAUGCUGAUGGUGCCAGGGACACAGUGCCAAGCUUUCUCCUGGAAUGGUCUGGGCAUGCAAGGUAUGGUGACCGUGGUGGCUUUCAACCCUGGCGAGGACAAUCUGGAAGGCUGCCCCUCCUGUUCACUCUGUCAUACAAAAACGUGCAAGGGUUUAUUAGGAACUGCAUGGAUUUGGGUCAGGUGCAGUCUAUUUUGGUCAUCCCUUUUUGGACACAGGAUGAAGAUGUUCAGGAACCCUUAGCAACUUCCUUUGCACCUGGAUGAGCUUGUUGUGUCUUCAAAACAACUAGGAGAGCAUCUUCACCCAUAGUAACAACCUUAGAAUGGACAGAGGGAAAGAGCACAUUCAAGAGAGAUUCAAAUAGAAAUGUAGCUUGCUGUCAGAUGUCCUAAAUAAGAGGAGAAAAUACACGCAUGAUCACAAAUCAGUCUGGUAUUAAAAAACAAAUAACAAAUAAAAAAACAACAGGGCAACCUCUUUAUCAUCUUUUAAGAGAGUGAAGUCAGAAGUAAUCUUGCUUCAGCAGAUGGGCAGAAAAACCAACUAAAGAAUUUGGGUCAGAAUUAAAUAGGCAUUCCCACAUUCUCGCUGCAUCCAUGUGAGUUCAAGAAGGAAGCGGCAGGCACUUUGAACACAGAGAACUGAGCUUUUCAGGAUGCUCUGCUAAAAAGGGGUUUCCAAACACAAGUGAUGCAGAGCUGAACAUCUGCCACCAUCUGGCAAAACACAACAACAAUCUACAGUCAAAAUCAGGGCCCCAACUAACCAGUUCAGGCAUGGGAAAUGCUCACACACCCAGAAGAGGUGCUGCAAGCAGCAGGACAGUAAAGUUUCAUAAGUAUAUGGAAUGUUAUUUGUUAGAAUACUGAGAAAGAAAGGUGUAAAUGUUAGAUUCCUAUCUGCCGUACUAGAGACGAAUAGGACAAACAUUAGUAGCAUACACCCUCCAACUCCUGCUGCAGAAACCAAAGAUCUUCGUGUGCCCAUGCUGUCACUGGUGGCUGCUGACACUGUGUAAUUGUACACAUGUAGCAGAGGAGAGUGCACUGACCCGUUUACCUGGAUGACCCUGAAAUCCCACCAAGCUACCAUUUCUGCUACACAUGGCAAUGCUGACAGGUGUCCACAGACCUGCUCUAGAGCUUUUAUCAGCAGCCAUCAAAGCAUGCAGCACUUCAUCUCUGUGUACCUCAAGCUGGUUUCUCUGCUCAGUGUUCGGUUCUCAUUCAGAUUCUGCUAGGGGCUGCCCAACGUGCUGCUAUCAACUUCAAAGUUCAGUCCUCAUCUGAAUGUAAUGUUUUUACUAUAGCUAUAGGCUUCCUUUCAGCAGAGACUCAAAUUGCUCCAGUUUGUGUACUGCGUUUGUAAUGCACAAGAACAGGCUAAGUUAAACACCGGUUAAAUUCAUUUCUACCUAUGGCUUUAGCAGAGGUCUGUGCCCGUCUGCCUACUAUGGAAAGCAAAUCUCCUAACACAGUGUGUGGCCAAACUUGUCCAUUGGGCCUCCUAUUCCCAGACAUUCAGCAUCAGUUUCAAGACUAACAAAUAAAGUGCAGUAGUACAGAACUUCCAAGGUGGAAAAAUUGAAUGAGUAGCUACUGCAGGGACAAUCUUAAGCUUUCUGACGUGGACUCCACACUGAAGUAAGCUAUAUUCAGAGAAAGCCAUUGAAAAUAAAGCCCCAAAGGUAAUGCUUCAAAGAAGCAAAAUCAACAUCACCAAUAUGCCUAGAGAAAUGGAGAUCUCUCUCAGGGGUGAAUGCAGCUACAGCACCUGAGAUAUAACCCACACUGUUCGCAGACUGUCGGCACUCCACCUAGCUCCUCUUUUUGAAGUCCUCUUCAUCUCUGCUCUCUACAGCUGACAGUGCAAUAAGCAUUUGAGCUGCAUAGUAAGUAGCCAUGAUGAUAACACGCGAGUAGGGUACAGGAAAGCAGAACUUGUUAACUGCGAUGGUCAGAUCCGACACCAUGAAAAGCAUUGCUCCAAUGCAGGCCGAGAGCUUGGUCCAUGUCCAGAGGUCAUUGCACAGCUGCAUGCCAGCGACCGCUCGCCAGCCCAUGAAGCCAAUCAAGGCGAUGUAGACAGCUACCAGGUAGGUGAAUGGGCCCGAGAGGUAGGAGUACAGGAAGGCAUAACAGGAACUGGAAAUGAGGCCCAUCAUCAAGCCGGCUUUCAGGUCCAAAGGCUUCAUGCCAAAGGCUGAGGAGUACAGGAUGUGUGUGAUGGCAAACAUCAGCAGACCUGGAAAGAGGCAUUGACAGUGACUGGCAGCCAGUAGCAAAAGAAAACAUGGAUACAAUGGAUUUGAAACAUACAGAAGUUACUCCAGGUAUAGAUGUCCUUGUGUUACAACCCCCAUUUGAUUUAAUCAGGCACCAUACUGAGCACUUGAAAUUAUUUUAAUAUAAAAAAAUAUGCAUGGGAGAUUGACUUUAGCACCAGGUUCCUGCCCUAAGAAAGAGCCUUGGUACUUCUACACCUGCAGCUGAGUGCGACUCUGUUGUGAUGUGCACCUGUUGCCGAGAGGCCUGGUGAGCCAAGCUGCUGCAGAAAGAACAAAGACUGUUUCUCAGAUAACUCCUCCUCUGCUCUGGACAGAAAGCUGGGGGCAAGGCAGAGCAAAGAUAAUCACCUCUAAUUAUCUAUCAUCUGAACCAUUUCACUCCCAGGUCAAUUGGAACAGGAAUGUUGGAAUCAGAGCCAUGUCAGAACAAAAUGUGAUAAGAUUGUGAUCCUUCUGAAUCUAGAUAGAAAAUCUAAUCAUAUUUAGCCCCAAACCCAAAAGAACUCAGGGACUGCAUCUGGCUUUUACUCCGUCUCUGCACAUAGCUAGGAGAAACCUAAGCUGGAAGAAGCAGCUGACAUAUUUCAGGGACUAUACCAAUAUGAUCUGCCAACAAUGUUACAGCUAUUUGCAAGCUUCAUAUGAACCUUAGCUGGAAUCAAUCAGUGAAAAUAAAAUGCUAGCUUCCAUUUGAAGUGCAACACGCCUGAGGAAUCCCAUAUAGAAGGUACUGUCGUUGUGUUAAUCACUUGCCACUAACCCAUUUGGCAAAAAAUGUCAUCAUGUUUUGGUACAGCUGCUGACUACUACUUGCACAUGGUAGGCCCUAAACCCAUGUAAGAAAUGGGGAAAAUGAUCUGGGAAGAUAAGUCCUCCAGCAGGACACCUGUUUGUGUUUUAAAGCCCAGUGCUGUGGUACAAAGGUAACUGCUAGGUCCUGCUGCUGGCAGACAUCUCCUCAUUCCGAUACUCCCUGAGGCAGCUAAAAGGAGAAGCAUCUCCCAGCCUUUGGGAUCAGCAUCCACUCAGCCAUUGUGGGAUGACAGGGGAACCCACGGGAGGGAGAGGGAUAGUGAGAUUUAGUCUGCAAGGGGAGGAAAUGGACAGUGGGAAGGAGAAGGAAUUGCAAAGCAGGGCAACAAGAAGUUGAUAUUUCACAGUUUUCAUGUGUGUAGCACUGAGAGAUAAGGGAUUUAGGAUGAGAAGUGUUUAUAGUGCAGGAAAGGUUAGAGCCAUGGAGUGGUCAGGAAGGGAAGGUUAUUUUGUUCUAGCUAUGAGGAAUGAUUUCUCUUUCAGUGGCAUUGUGUGGAAAGUGCUGGAAUGGGGAACUGAAGAAUGAGUUGUCCUUCGUGUAGGCAGCCAGCAGCAAGGCAGAAGAGAGAAGAACAAGAUACAGCAGCCAAACAGAAACCCAGAAAGGCAGGAGGAGUUCUGUGAUACAUGGUGAGGUCAUGAGAGUCAGCUCUGAGUUUUUCUCAUUCAGCACCCACAAAUAAAGCCAAGAAAAAGAGAAACCUGUGAAAGAUGCACAGAGAGCAUGGUGCAGUUUUCUUGCAUUUCUCAGCCUUUGGCUCAGCCCUCCAAUCACACCAGGCAAAUCAGCCUUUUCUAUCUGUCUGCUUACUUCCACUCUCUGCCUUAUUCUGGGCCAGAUGGAAUCAGGGAGCCCAGGUUUUCUUCCCACUUCCCCUGCCCUGGAGUUGCUGCUCAGGCUGGCAGUAAGUCCUUUCUGUAAGAUCCCAUCUUCUUUACUAAAUGCAUAAUUUUUCUGAUCUCCCAUUAUCAAAGGACACAAGUGUUAACACUGUAAAGUAUUUUCCACAUGCAGGAAGACACUAGUCAGAAAAUAGCUUGCUUUUAGUAGACAAAAAUGAAGUGUGAAGUGUGCCAGGGGUAGGUUCCCAGGCUCUCACCUCCCUGUAAAAUAAUGAACAAAUGUCUUUUUAUAAAAUCGUUGUCUCAAAAGCUAUUCAACUUAACUCUGAUCUCAACCUUUUUUUCUGCCUGAAAGCCAUAGAAAUUGAAGAGAAAGUACAUUACUCUCUAGUAAUUCCUUUCAUUCCCCUGAAAUUUGAAAUUCCCACAAGGGACGAUGUCAAAAGUUUGGAUGUUGUCAGUUGUCAACAACAGCAGCUUGCUGUGCUUAGGAGAAAAUACGUUCUGCAGGAAAAGUGACAGGAUAAGUGGGGUGGUGCACUUUAUUUGCUGACAGCUGAAAUGCAAAUGUUAACACUUCACUACAGAAGGCAGUAGCUCAGAUUAGUACAGAGUGAGGCAGACAAGAGAAAGCCAAGGAUCCAGGCUGAGAUUCUCAAAAUGCUCCAAGAGAGCUAAACAAGCAUUCUCCUUAAAUCAAGAAGAAAAAUUAGUCAAACCCCACAAACUGGGGUAAAAAUUCCUGCUGAUUUGCAGAUUAAAACACUUGAACUCAACACUGAAUUGCUGUGACAGGUUGACCUUCUUCUAUCAUUAAAUCAAAUAAGUGACUCAGAGAUAUCCCAACUACGUGGGAAUGGGGAACUUAUGCACAGUCCAUGUACAAAAACGGUCACAGUGAGAAUCAGGUCUUGAAUGUUUUCCAAGCCACAGCUCAAGAAGCAAUGACAGGAGGCAAAACAGAAGCAUGGGCAGCUGGACCAGGCUAACUUGUGCAGAGCCAUGCAUUCCUGUUAAGAGGAGGCCUGUCAGUGGGAGUGCCAACACUCAGCACAUAGUGAAUGGCAACCCAAGAGAUAGUUGGACCUUCUAAGAAACAUGCCCUGAAUUCAGCCAAACAGAUCCAGCCCCCGAGGCCUAAUAUACCUCACCAAAAUCUUAGGAGUUUUUACAGGAACUUUUAAUGAGCUUUGGAUAAACCCUUGGGAAGCAGGAUUAAAACCAGAAUCAAAGUAUUUGGCUUUUCAUAUCUAGCAUUUCACAUACUUUCCUCUCAUAAAGAAAGCAGAGGUUGUUGGAAUUCCAGAAUAAAACUAAAUACUGAUUUCAUACAAGGAGUAAAAAAUAAGCCUUUGACUUUCAUAGAAGUCAGAAAAGUUCCCCCAUCUCAUCAUGUUUUCCAAUGGGACAGUCACAGCAGCCAGCUAAUGGUGGGUGUUAAAUGAGAUCCCUUUGCUGGUGAAGUUGACUUCACAAACGCCACCAAUGCAGUGAAGUGAAGGACUUAACUGCUGCUGAUUUCUUAUGACAAUCCAAGGCCAUGGCAAGUGUUGCUGCAGGCGGCCUCAACGUGGCUUUAAAUCAUUAAUCUAAACCAUUAUGUUCUAGUCUGCAAAACAGUGAAAUAAAAUAAGCUUGUUUUGCUUUGAGAGAUGUAGAUCUUUCUGUAGAGAUGACAGGGUGUCAUGGUAAGGUUUGCCCUUGAUUCCCUAUAAUUUACAAGUCUUGCAAAACCAGUUCCUAUGUUUUUACAACAGGCUGCAUGAUUCAUGCUGAUGAACCUGAAAGUAGGACAAGAUUCCUGAUGAUUUGCUUUCUGACAUCCAUUUAAACACCUCCCCCUGGCUGCGGACUUGUCUUCUGCAACUUAAAGAUCGUCUCUACCUUCUCUCCACUAAGGGCCUUUGCCUCGUGUGUCUUACUUCUGCAUCCUUGUAGAGAAGGGCUGACAGAUCUCCCUGAGGAGAGGCAGGAGGUAGAUACUUCCUGCAGCUUCAUGGGAGAUGCUGAGUGCUGUGAGUUUCCUCCUCUUCCCAGGACAUUCUACCCAUGCCACUUUCCCAACUGCAGCCAGAUGAGACACUACAAGCAUGUGCCAAUUAACCAAACCUGUCUUAAUGACCUCUCUGACUUCAGAACACUUCAAGAGAACUUCAAGAGUCUCAUCAAUGAUGUGACUCCUCUAACUGCAAUGGAUCUUAGUCUAGGGAUGACUAUCUCACACUACCAGGCACUUAAGCUGUACAUGAGUAAAAAAAAACAAAAACAAAAAACAUGUGGCAAGCAACUCACUACUAAAUAAACAGUGUAACAGCUGGGCACUGUGGCAACCCUUCAGAACUCACACCAUACUCACCAUGAAUGAAGUAGCCUUGCUCUUGCCAGAUGAGAAAGGCAUCUCCCACUGCUGAGAAUAUCAGUCCUGCUAGGAUGCGGCUGGCACUGCGGUGUGCCACUAAAAAGUUAAUUCCAUGAGCCAGAAGGAAAACCCACAGGCAGAAGAUGGGCAAACAUUUGAUGAGGGCACUGAACCAGGAAGGGCUGGAUGUUGGCAACCAGAGGACAAAAUAGACACAAGUCGCUUUAAAGAAGGGCACCAGUUUGGGGCCUUCACUCUUCACCUAAAGAAACAAACAUUGAAAAAAGAGAAAUUAACAGGACCAUCAGAAGCAUCAAUGGACUAAUCUGUAAAACAGAACUGUUUCCUUCACUCUGAAAGCUUUUCCUUCUUGUAGACAGUCAGCUAUCAGCAUUUCUACCUCAGAAAAAAAGGCUGCUUGAACUUAAUCAUCAUCUUCAACUUAGACCUUGGUAAACAUCUUCUGAGCUUCUUGGCUGCCAGAAUGGAGAUAAGGGAAAUUUUAGAUACUUUUUAUCAAUUCUGUUUAAAAACUUUUAGUCAAACCCCAUUAGUGGUCUUGUGUUUAGACUAACCCCUUUAAUACACAUCUUUUCCUGUAGCUGAGAAUAUCCUGCACUCCCCAGGAGUGCCACAGCAGCAAGCAAGCCAAUAAAAGCAGUCUUCCCUCCAAGGUUGGUGUAUCCUCUUGUUUAGCCAGCUGCAGAUCACCUUGGGGAUACAAACUCUCUUCUAACCCAUUCUCUCUCCCGCCCUGUAGGCUCAUGCCUGGAGCUUGCUACCACCACAUGACUUCAAAACCCAUCGCAUCAGCCUCCAAGUUGCAGAGAUGGUAGCACCUCCGGCAAGAUCCCCACCUCUGUCCUGCCAGCCAAGGAUCUCCGCUACACCAUAAAGAGCCUGAGACCUUCAGGAUGGAAGACUAACUGCUUCCAAAGAUAGAAAGGAUUUUCAGCAUCCACAGUGCUCCAGAUCCCUGUAACAGUCUCAGCUAAGACAGUGACUCCCUGCUUCUACCCAUGGGUGACAAAGGCUGUUCCUGGCAGGGCACCUUGCAGAGGAAGGCACCAAGGCUUCAAUUUGCUUGAUGCAGCCAAAGCAACACCUUCUCCAGUCCAGCAGCCUCCAUCUAAAGAGGCAAGUACGUCAGAGGAUGAAAGGGAAGGGAUCGGAAUUGUCCAUAUAUGGCUUCUGGGCAAAAUCAAAUCAGGCUGUGCUAGGCCAAGUAAGAGCCAGGUGUGGAGAGAGGGUGUUACAGGGAUGAGAGCACCACUUAAUGACUUUGUAUGUCCCAUUCCAUUUUCCCCAAGGUGAUGUGCGAAGACCUAUGCUUAGUUCAGCCCUCACUUCAUUUAAGGGGAAAGGUGUGGUGUGUCUCUCUGAGCCUGUAGCAUCACAUAAGUGCAGGAGUGGCUGCACAUCUCCAGGUUCACCUACUCUGCAUUUGCAGUCCCUACAGUUCUGGCACAUGCUGGAGAGAAGUCCUUAGGGCAAGGCAAUCUUGCACAGCUUAACGCUCACAACUCUUUACCCACUAAGGAGAAAAAAACUAGAACAAAAAUUACUAAUGAGGCAGUCUCAGGAAGAACUUUUAUUAAAAUAGGACCGGUGAUGAGUGAACAAGAAGAGAAUUAAACCUCGCAUAUCUCUAAAGCAAAUGUGUUGCUUACUAAAACUGCCCUCCAACCUCAACCUUUCAGCCCACUCGCCUUUAGGCAGCAAAAAAGCAGCUCCUAACCAGAGCAAUAUCAGCAAUAACAGUUUGUAAGCAGGAUGCUCCUGCUUGCCUAGCAGAAUAAGCAGAAGCUGUCCUCCAAGGUGACUUCCAGCCAGAGCAAGCACUGCUCACCAGCUGGAGCAGGACCGGCAGACACACUCAUUUUUACUGCCACAGCCUAACUCUGUCCAAGUCUGGACUCCAGCACCACCAGGACUCUGGAACAUUACCCUGCUGAGUGCCUGGAACAAUACAUUAAAAGCUGUUUGGGCCAUAGACUUCUGUAUUUGUGGGCACUCCCCCCUCGGCACGUCUGUGUUGUGCAGCACCAGAGACAACAGCUCCGCACAAUGCUGCGGACAUGCCAAACCCCCAGGGCCAUGAUGCACACCUGGCAGCCAGCACUACCAAGCAGUACUAACCGUCACAUCUCCCAGCCUCCUCUCCAUGGUUCAUACCUCCGUGCAUGGUUUCUUCUAGCUGUCAUCUGUGCAGCAGACCUGGAACUCAGUGUUUUAAGUAAACCAUCAUGUUUCUUGCGAGACUGUCUUAGUAGGGGUGAUGCGAGAGAUCAGGCUGUGCCUAAGUAGUCCGGGCCAUCUGCUGCUGUUAUGCAAAGACCAUAGCUUUGAAAACUGGAAAGAAAACCAUGGUACUCCUGGCGGUGUUCUUCUAGUGUCUUCCCUGUUCAUGCUGAUGCUGCAGGACAUCAGGAGAAAACAUGCACUGUAGACAAGUGAAUUCACCUGGCUAAUUUGAUUAUGCCUCGGGUGCUGCCCUUAACAUUGUCCCUAUCAGAGGCAGAACAGAUAGUCACACUGUCUCCAAACACCUGAUCUAUCUAUGCAGCAAAAGGCAGCACUGCAAAGAUAAGGCUUGGGCCCCAAGGAUAGCACUUCACUGUGGUCAGACUGAUUGCCCACUGCUGUUCCCUUCAGCACCCAACUGGUUGGAGGAAGUCCACCGGUCCUGCAGUCCACACUCAGUCCUUCUCACCCCAUAUGCAGCUCCACUUGCAGCUGUGCAGUGGCCGUGCCAUGCUCCCAGGCAGCAGAGAAUGCUGUUCCAGCCUGCCCAUUGUGGCUGCAGCACAGCAAAUGGCAGAGCCAUUCCGCAUGCUCCAUCAGGAGAAGAGCAAUGUGAAAAUGCACCAAAGGUGAUGUGCAAAGAACUGCUCCUUGACACACUGAAGGCUGUCAGCCCUGUGCUGUGAUCUCUCUGAAGGAUUAGACCAGUGCUUGCUGAAGCUGAAGACCAGCUUGCUGAUAGCUGUGAUAAACAGCUGCAGCUCCAGCCACAGCUCCUGGUGUCAUCAUUUCUCCAGCAAUCUGCAGCCUUACGCCUGUGUUAGCUGCCUUUGGUGAAGCAAAGGGUCGGUAUGUCAGGGAUGAAGCCAGAGCAGAAACGUCUGUUGUUAGAUGACAAAGAGCAAGUAAAGAAAACACUUUUCAUGUGCCACCCUGAGUUACCUUAUGAAAGAGUAGUUCCUGGUAUAGGUGAAGCCUUCUUAAAUUACGUACAGCCUUCCCAGGGCAUAGUCAUGUGGUAAUCAUUUGCUGCAAGACCACCCCUAUUAACCAGCCCUGGGAGCCAAGUACUAUCUCCUCUCAAUUACAAAACAAACUGCCAGCUUUUAGCUAUUCCAACAUUGUCCCAGGGAAAUAUUUCAUUUCCAGGGCACAAGUGCACAGCUCACUGUAACCAAAGCAUUACCUAGAUGAAUUUAGCUUAUGGCACAGCAGCACUAAGAUACUAGGCCUCUUCAGUUAUUUCUGAAAAGCACAAGGAAAAAAUAAUAAGUCAUUUGACCUUAGAAUAGUGUAACAUACAGGCUACUUCCCUCUGUCUCUAAAGAUAAAAAUCAUCCCUAGGCUGCUGAUGAACUUACCAGGUAUGUGGUAAUGACUGGGGGAAAAUUCAUCUGAGCAAUGUCACAAUGUGAGCUGCUGCACAGCACUGGCAAAGGAGUGCAAAAGUUUUGAACCCUGGCUCUGUGAGUUAGAGAUGGGGGGGAGAACAGGACUGCUACCCUUCUGUCUAUGAGACAGAACAUGGAGGGGUGCCGGGGAUCUGGACUAGCCAUCAACCACAACUUUUCACAUCAGGAUGAUGACAGACGCACAAGGAACCGGGAUACCGAACAUAGGUGUUUGGUGCUGAGAGGAAAGCACCGCCCGUCAACUCUACUGACAGCCAGCUCUUCUUAGCGCACCCAGUGGGCUGCUGCUGCAUUCAGCCAAAUCCCUCGCUUUCUAGAAACAGGAGCAUGCAAAGCAGCGUGUGACUGCACAGCUUCUCAGCUGUUCUGCUGAGCGCUUUGUCUUUUUCCAGCAUCCCCUCCACCCGCGGGGUCAGGACCCGGCACCACACGUCCUCCACGAAGGACAGCAGCGAGCUGCCGUUUACGUUACACUAAUUAAGCUUCACGACUCCCCGUGGGACAGGCAGGUGACACCAUCCCUGCCUCACCACCGCUGCGCGGAGGCAGCGCCAGACCGGCUCCUAAGGCAGACCCGAGCGGACGGCAAAGCACCGUCCGGCUCCGCGUGCAGCGCCGGUCGAGCUGCCAAGCUGCCAGCUGAGCACGUCCGGGCAGGAGGGGGUGAAGCCUCGGGGACAGGAGGCAUAGAGGGCACGGGGCUACACUAGAGCCCGGGGAAGCGGCCACACGGAGUGCAGCGAGGCCUUGGGGCAGGUGGGCGAGCCCAGGCGGACGUAAACAGCAGCGCUCCGAGCAGACACAUCGCACACAACGCAGAUCCACCAUACAGAUGUUUACAAAAAUAACAGGAGGAAGAGG